UACAGAGGUCUCAAGCGUUGUUCGGAUUCAUUGGGCGUAAAGGGUGCGUAGGCGGCGUGGUAAGUCGGGUGUGAAAUCUCGGAGCUUAACUCCGAAACUGCAUUUGAUACUGCCUUGCUUGAGGACUGGAGAGGAGACUGGAAUUCACGGUGUAGCAGUGAAAUGCGUAGAUAUCGUGAGGAAGACCAGUGGCGAAGGCGGGUCACUGGACCGGAACUGACGCUGAGGCGCGAAAGCGUGGGGAGCAAACGGG
This 253-nucleotide ribosomal RNA is filed under the name uncultured bacterium. RNAcentral describes it as "partial 16S ribosomal RNA". It matches the Rfam family "Bacterial small subunit ribosomal RNA", at positions 524 to 776 of the family's 1533-position model. The record is from RNAcentral.